RNAcentral lists this ribosomal RNA (427 nucleotides) under uncultured bacterium. Its description in RNAcentral is "partial 16S ribosomal RNA". It matches the Rfam family "Bacterial small subunit ribosomal RNA", at positions 355 to 774 of the family's 1533-position model. The record is from RNAcentral.
UGGGGAAUAUUGCACAAUGGGCGCAAGCCUGAUGCAGCCAUGCCGCGUGUAUGAAGAAGGCCUUCGGGUUGUAAAGUACUUUCAGCGGGGAGGAAGGCGAUAAGGUUAAUAACCUUGUCGAUUGACGUUACCCGCAGAAGAAGCACCGGCUAACUCCGUGCCAGCAGCCGCGGUAAUACGGAGGGUGCAAGCGUUAAUCGGAAUUAAUGGGCGUAAAGCGCACGCAGGCGGUCUGUCAAGUCGGAUGUGAAAUCCCCGGGCUCAACCUGAGAACUGCAUUCGAAACUGGCAGGCUAGAGUCUUGUAGAGGGGGGUAGAAUUCCAGGUGUAGCGGUGAAAUGCGUAGAGAUCUGGAGGAAUACCGGUGGCGAAGGCGGCCCCCUGGACAAAGACUGACGCUCAGGUGCGAAAGCGUGGGGAGCAAACA